This 301-nucleotide ribosomal RNA is filed under the name uncultured bacterium. RNAcentral describes it as "partial 16S ribosomal RNA". It matches the Rfam family "Bacterial small subunit ribosomal RNA", at positions 512 to 808 of the family's 1533-position model. The record is from RNAcentral.
CAGCCGCCCGGUAAAACGAAGGGUGCAAGCGUUACUCGGAAUUACUGGGCGUAAAGCGUGCGUAGGUGGUGGUUUAAGUCCGUUGUGAAAGCCCUGGGCUCAACCUGGGAAUUGCAGUGGAUACUGGGUCACUAGAGUGUGGUAGAGGAUAGUGGAAUUUCCGGUGUAGCAGUGAAAUGCGUAGAGAUCGGAAGGAACAUCUGUGGCGAAGGCGACUAUCUGGGCCAACACUGACACUGAGGCACGAAAGCGUGGGGAGCAAACAGGAUUAGAUACCCGUGUAGUCCCUGUCUCUUAUACA